AUGAUAGCUUUGGAGAACAAAACCAUUUAUCAGUAGAAUGGUACAGCACAGACAACAGCAGGACAAGUUUCCCUAGUCUGCUUGGCAACUGUAUCUCAACUCUUGUCUGGGGAAACUUGUUAUGGGAGGAGAAGCUAGUUCAGUCUUCAUGGUAAUUCACUACUUGGUUCUU
This 172-nucleotide small RNA is filed under the name Sphenodon punctatus (tuatara). RNAcentral's name for it is "TUC338 (ENSSPUG00000019050.1)". Lineage: Eukaryota; Metazoa; Chordata; Lepidosauria; Sphenodontia; Sphenodontidae. The record is from RNAcentral.